This 301-nucleotide ribosomal RNA is filed under the name uncultured bacterium. RNAcentral describes it as "partial 16S ribosomal RNA". It matches the Rfam family "Bacterial small subunit ribosomal RNA", at positions 509 to 808 of the family's 1533-position model. The record is from RNAcentral.
CAGCCGCCGCGGGUAAAACGAAGGGGGCUAGCGUUGCUCGGAAUGACUGGGCGUAAAGGGCGCGUAGGCGGAUGGCACAGUCAGAUGUGAAAUUCCCGGGCUUAACCUGGGGGCUGCAUUUGAUACGUGUUGUCUAGAGUGAGGAAGAGGGUCGUGGAAUUCCCAGUGUAGAGGUGAAAUUCGUAGAUAUUGGGAAGAACACCGGUGGCGAAGGCGGCGACCUGGUCCUUUACUGACGCUGAGGCGCGAAAGCGUGAGGAGCAAACAGGAUUAGAUACCCGCGUAGUCCCUGUCUCUUAUA